RNAcentral lists this ribosomal RNA (468 nucleotides) under uncultured bacterium. RNAcentral's name for it is "partial 16S ribosomal RNA". It matches the Rfam family "Bacterial small subunit ribosomal RNA", at positions 28 to 507 of the family's 1533-position model. The record is from RNAcentral.
GACGAACGCUGGCGGCGUGCUUAACACAUGCAAGUCGAACGGAAAGGCCCUGCUUUUGUGGGGUGCUCGAGUGGCGAACGGGUGAGUAACACGUGAGUAACCUGCCCUUGACUUUGGGAUAACUUCAGGAAACUGGGGCUAAUACCGGAUAGGAGCUCCUGCUGCAUGGUGGGGGUUGGAAAGUUUCGGCGGUUGGGGAUGGACUCGCGGCUUAUCAGCUUGUUGGGGGGGUAGUGGCUUACCAAGGCUUUGACGGGUAGGCGGCCUGAGAGGGUGACCGGCCACCUUGGGACUGAGAUAGGGCCCAGUCUGCUACGGGAGGCAGCAGGGGGGAAUAUUGCACAAUGGGCGCAAGCCUGAUGCAGAAACGCCGCGUGCGGGAUGACGGCCUGCGGGUUGUAAACCGCUUUCGCCUGUGACGAAGCGUGAGUGACGGUAAUGGGUAAAGAAGCACCGGCUAACUACGUG